UGCCAGCCGCCGCGGUAAUACGGAGGGUGCGAGCGUUAAUCGGAAUUACUGGGCGUAAAGCGCGCGUAGGCGGCCUGGUCAGUCGGAUGUGAAAGCCCCGGGCUUAACCUGGGAAUUGCAUUCGAUACUGCCUGGCUAGAGUAUGGGAGAGGGAAGUGGAAUUUCCGGUGUAGCGGUGAAAUGCGUAGAUAUCGGAAGGAACACCAGUGGCGAAGGCGGCUUCCUGGCCCAAUACUGACGCUCAGGUGCGAAAGCGUGGGGAGCAAACAGGAUUAGAUA
Molecule: ribosomal RNA, 279 nt
Filed under: uncultured bacterium
Lineage: Bacteria
Description: partial 16S ribosomal RNA
Rfam family: Bacterial small subunit ribosomal RNA
Source: RNAcentral